This 3567-nucleotide long non-coding RNA is filed under the name Carica papaya (papaya). Its description in RNAcentral is "long non-coding RNA (CPAP_LNC012400)". Lineage: Eukaryota; Viridiplantae; Streptophyta; Magnoliopsida; Brassicales; Caricaceae. The record is from RNAcentral.
AUAAACAUGCAUGUAAAUGCAUAUGGAGCAUUUUCGGCAUAUACCUACUGAUAUGCAUACAUAUGUUUUUAUAUAUAUUUUGGUGUAGACACACACACACACACACACACACAUAUAUUAUAGAUACGCGCAACCCAUACAUAAAUUUUCCUGCACACAACCACUUACACAUAUUUAUAGAUACAUACACGCAUAAUACUGUAUAUACCACACACCCAGAAUCUACAUAUAUAUUAAACUCUCAUUUAUAACCAUACACAUAUAUAUGUUCACACAGGUUCAUUUAUUUACAAUUACAUUAAUACAAACACCCCUUAUCCAUGUAUAUAUAUAUAUUUAUACAAAUACCUAUAUGUCUUCAAGUGUACAUAUUUAUAUAUAUAUAUAUUCGCAUACCUACAUAUACAUAAUAGUAAAUUUUUAUACAUGCAAUCUCGCAUACACAUGUAUCCAACCAUAUAACUUUUCUAAACAUACAAAUAUGCCUACAUAUAUCUAAUACAUGCUGCAUACACAUAGUUAUAUAAACAUAUAUAUACAUACAUAAAAUAUAUUGAAAAUGUGACAUCCCAAUACCUAGUGAGGUUAAAGGGCGUCUAAUAAUAGAAAAAAUAUGAGUAUAUAAAAAUAAACAAAUAUAUAUACAACAAAAAAUAUUAUCCCUUACAAAAAAUUUAAGUUUCAAAUUUUACAUCCGAUGCCAAAAAGUUGGUUACCAAAAUACAUAUAUACACAAAAGUUUAUGAAAAGCCAUUUCUUCCAUUAUAAGAGUGUUUCAUCAGAGUGUUGACAGAUAAUGCACUCAAAAUCCUCCUAAAGAUCCAUGAACGGAUCUAAACGAGCUUAAAUGAGCAACUCAGCAAGCGAAUCAUCACUUCCAUAAUCUAAGGGGGGACAUAGAUUGAGGUGAGCUCCAAAUAACUCAGUAAAAAAAAUAGUAUAUAAACUACACUAUUAAGGUUUUCAAAUGUUAUUUAUUUCAAAGCAAAUCAUUAUCAUAAAAUCAUUUGACUUACCUCUUAGACUUGUCGUACACAUGUUCUUUUAAAAUAUUGAAAAAGUGUUAUUUUUCUAUUAAACCAAAUAAAAAACAUCGAUAUUUAAAUUACAACAGGAAGUAAAGAUAGCCUAGUGUAACAUAAAAGAGUCAAUAAUACAACAAGCCAUUGUAAUAUAAACUAGUUAAACCAACUAAAAGCAUAGCAAUGUCAUGACGAAACAAUGAUAAACAUAUUCCUUUCAAGAGAAAUUUUUAAAGCGUAGGAAAUCAAUCAACUAUUCUAGCCAUGUCAUCAAAUGUUUAAAUUUUAUUUAUGUCUUUUACAGAUCUUCAUGUAAAACUGUUCUAACUUAUAUUAGCUUAGGGCAGAAGGGAUUCCCAACUACCACUGUGAAAGAGCAAACAGAUUCAUUUCAAUAUCAGAUAUUUUAGAGAUAAACUAAUCACCAUGGUCGUACUUUGCCACUGUAGCUCCUACAGAAUAGAUAAGACUAAUGACCACAAUCGCACUUCGCCAUUGUGGCCACUAUAGAUCAAUCACGAAUCCAUUCUCGUUAAAGGGAAUAUCAGUACCAUUCAUAAGGGGUGGUUCAUUGAUAGAUUGAAAUACAAAUACAGAUAUAGAAAUAGAAACCCCCUAGUGAUAAUGGUCAAAUAGAUUUUUAAUUCUUUUCUCUUUUCUUACUAAUUUCAAUUUAUAAAUAAUCAUGAAUUUAGAACUCGGUGGGGGUCUAAUAAACAUAUCCCAACCUAAGUAGGCCUUUAUACUCAGAUUUUGCCAUCGGGUCAUCCUCUUGAGCUUAGCCUUAAUAAAAUAACCCUCUCCACUAUCACUUAGGGUAAAACAGAGGGACAAAUCUGCACAUAUUCAAAUAUCAUCGAGGUACGAUUAAACAUGCAUUAUUGUUUUUAAGGAAAACUAGCCACACAUAUAUCCAUUCAUAUCAUAUAGCUGCUAAACAAGAUUUAAUUUCAUGCAUCAAGAUAAAUCAAUAAUCAUAAAUUAAUUAUCUAGAAAUUUGCUAGUAAAUGUACGAGAAAAUACUAAAAAAUUCCUUACCGAAAUCUUUAAUGAUUUUUGAAGUCCUAUGGAAAAAGGAUGGAUAGGAUUGCUCGGUGACUCAUGAACCAAAGAAAAAAUCCUAACUCCCGGUCUCCCACACAAAUUUUCCCUAAAUUUUCUCUAAAUAUUGAGGAAGAAGGAAUGUUGAAGUGAAAGGGAUGUGGAAGGUCCUUUAAAUAGAUUUUUUGGGCGAACGGGAGCACUCAGAUUGCAUAGGCGAUCAAUGAUUGUCGGUCGGCCAAGUGGCCGACUUGCCACCACAUGCAGCGUGCAUGCGUGCCACGUGGUGGCCAUGCACCCCCAGCUAGGCUGACAUGAUGGACAUAUGAGAUAGUCUGUCUGUUAGUCUGUCACAACAAGUGACUGUGCAUAGAGUCGUGGGCCCUGUAGGUUAACAACACAGCCUUUGCAUCGCACAGGCAUGUGUUUGCGCUAUCACAUCUGCUGCGUAGUGACAACCCUGUGUACAUAGCUGGCUCAUGGGCAUAGGCACAUGGAUGCGCAUGCGCGUGGGCUCGCUGGCUCGCAAAUCAUUCUUGCAGGUUCGCGAGGUAUUUCUGCACAAUUUUUUUUCCAUUUUACAUUUCCUUUCAUUUUUCCUAAAAUUUUUAAAUAAUUUUAGUGCAAAAUAAUUAAAAAUAAAAAUAAAUAAUAAAAUAAUAUUCUUAAAAAUUAAAAGUUAAGAUAAGGCCCAGUGAAAUAAAUUAUGAAUACUGACUAAAAUUUAAAAUUAACAUCAAAGACCGCAACACACUAAAACAUGAAGUUUAAAAAUACACCAUUUGAACGCAUAGGUUUUUGGGUUUUAUAUCUUCCCCACCUUACAAAAAAUAUGGUCCUCCAAAUUUGAAAAAAUGUUUUUAAAACAACUCGGGAUACUUGUUCUGCAUUUCAUCUUCCAACUCACACGUAACUUCAUCUAGAGUGUGAUGCUGUCAUAACACCUUGACCAUUAAAAUCCUCACGUUCCGUAUAACCUUCUCCAUUGAAUCAAUUAUCUCAAUAAGGUAUUCUACAUAAGGCAUGUCCUAACGGACAAGAGUUUGCUGAUGCCGGAUGAUGUGAGAAGGAUCAUGGUGAUACCUCAUGGGCAUGGAGACAUGGAAAACAUCAUGUAGGCCAGUAAAUUCAAGAGGCAAAGCAAUACAAUAUGAAAUGGGGCCUACACGCUCUAAAAUCUCAAAAGACCUAACAAAACAAGGACUCAACUUUCCUCUCUUCUCAACCCAUAUUUUUCCCUUAUAUAGAAAGACUGCGAGGAAAACAUGGUCCCCAACAACAAAUUCUAGAGCCCUCCUUCUAUUGUCAGCAUAAUUCUUUUAAUGACUCCGAGCGAUAAUGAGGUUCUUACGGAUGAAGACAACUUUGUCAAUAGUCUCUUGAACGUAAUUUGUUCCAAGGAGAUGCUUAUUCCCAAUUUCAUUCUAAUAGGUUGGGGAUCGACAUGGCCUACUAUAUAGAGCUUUAUAUGGAGCCAUAUUAAUAUUAGAGUGAUAGUUGUUAU